UGUGCCGGAGGUGCGGCUUCCAGAGG
This 26-nucleotide non-coding RNA is filed under the name Homo sapiens (human). Lineage: Eukaryota; Metazoa; Chordata; Mammalia; Primates; Hominidae. The record is from RNAcentral.